CCUACGGGAGGCAGCAGUGGGGAAUAUUGGGCAAUGGGCGAAAGCCUGACCCAGCAACGCCGCGUGAAGGAAGAAGGCUUUCGGGUUGUAAACUUCUUUUGACAGGGAAGAGCAGAAGACGGUACCUGAAUAAGAAGCCCCGGCUAACUACGUGCCAGCAGCCGCGGUAAUACGUAGGGGGCAAGCGUUAUCCGGAAUUACUGGGUGUAAAGGGUGAGUAGGCGGCAUGGUAAGCCAGAUGUGAAAGCCUUGGGCUUAACCCGAGGAUUGCAUUUGGAACUAUCAAGCUAGAGUACAGGAGAGGAAAGCGGAAUUCCUAGUGUAGCGGUGAAAUGCGUAGAUAUACGGAGGAACACCAGUGGCGAAGGCGGAUUGCUGGACAGUAACUGACGCUGAGGCGCGAAAGCGUGGGGAGCAAACAGGAUUAGAUACCCCUGUAGUC
This 442-nucleotide ribosomal RNA is filed under the name uncultured bacterium. Its description in RNAcentral is "partial 16S ribosomal RNA". It matches the Rfam family "Bacterial small subunit ribosomal RNA", at positions 338 to 795 of the family's 1533-position model. The record is from RNAcentral.